This 253-nucleotide ribosomal RNA is filed under the name uncultured bacterium. RNAcentral describes it as "partial 16S ribosomal RNA". It matches the Rfam family "Bacterial small subunit ribosomal RNA", at positions 524 to 776 of the family's 1533-position model. The record is from RNAcentral.
UACGGGGGGGGUAAGCGUUGUUCGGAAUUACUGGGCGUAAAGGGCUCGUAGGCGGCCAACUAAGUCGGACGUGAAAUCCCUCAGCUUAACUGGGGAACUGCGUCCGAUACUGGAUGGCUUGGAUUUGGGAGAGGGAUGCGGAAUUCCAGGUGUAGCGGUGAAAUGCGUAGAUAUCUGGAGGAACACCGGUGGCGAAGGCAGCUCGCUGGGACGUUACUGACGCUGAGACGCGAAAGCGUGGGGAGCAAACAGG